GAUGAAGAACGUAGUGAAAUGCGAUAAUUAAUGUGAAUUGCAGAAUUCAGUGAAUCAUCGAGUCUUUGAACGCACAUUGCGCCCCCUGGUAUUCCGGGGGGCAUGCCUGUCCGAGCGUCAUUGCUGCCCUCAAGCACGGCUUGUGUGUUGGGCUUCCGUCCCUGGCAACGGGGACGGGCCCAAAAGGCAGUGGCGGCACCAUGUCUGGUCCUCGAGCGUAUGGGGCUUUGUCACCCGCUCCCGUAGGUCCAGCUGGCAGCUAGCCUCGCAACCAAUCUUUUUAACCAGGUUGACCUCGGAUCAGGUAGGGAUACCCGCUGAACUUAAGCAUAUCAAUAAGCGGAGGA
This 347-nucleotide unclassified non-coding RNA is filed under the name soil metagenome. RNAcentral describes it as "partial contains 5.8S ribosomal RNA, internal transcribed spacer 2, and large subunit ribosomal RNA". The stretch from base 1 to 120 matches the Rfam family "5.8S ribosomal RNA", at positions 35 to 154 of the family's 154-position model. The record is from RNAcentral.